ACGGAGGGUGCAAGCGUUAAUCGGAAUUACUGGGCGUAAAGCGCACGUAGGCUGUAGUGUAAGUCAGGGGUGAAAUCCCAUGGUUCAACCGUGGAACUGCCUUUGAUAUUGCACAACUUGAAUCCGGGAGAGGGUGGCGGAAUUCCAGGUGUAGGAGUUAAAUCCGUGGAUAUCUGGAGGAACAUCUGUGGCGAAGGCGGCCCCCUGGACCGGUAUUGACGCUGAGGUGCGGAAGCGUGGGGAGCAAACAG
RNAcentral lists this ribosomal RNA (251 nucleotides) under uncultured prokaryote. Its description in RNAcentral is "partial 16S rRNA". It matches the Rfam family "Bacterial small subunit ribosomal RNA", at positions 525 to 775 of the family's 1533-position model. The record is from RNAcentral.